Molecule: ribosomal RNA, 465 nt
Filed under: uncultured bacterium
Lineage: Bacteria
Description: partial 16S ribosomal RNA
Rfam family: Bacterial small subunit ribosomal RNA
Source: RNAcentral
CCUACGGGAGGCAGCAGUGGGGAAUAUUGCGCAAUGGGCGAAAGCCUGACGCGGCGACGCCGCGUGAGGGAUGAAGGUCUUCGGAUCGUAAACCUCUGUCAGCAGGGAAGAACGGUCACUGUGCUAAUCAGCAGUGAAUUGACGGUACCUGCAAAGGAAGCACCGGCUAACUCCGUGCCAGCAGCCGCGGUAAUACGGAGGGUGCGCGCGUUAAUCGGAAUUACUGGGCGUAAAGCGCUCGUAGGCGGUAUGUCAAGUCAAGGGUGAAAUCCCCGCGCGCAACGUGGGAACUGCCUUUGAAACUGGCGAACUUGAGUGUGUGAGAGGAUAGUGGAAUUCCAGGUGUAGGAGUGAAAUCCGUAGAUAUCAGGAAGAACAUCAGUGGCGAAGGCGACUAUCUGGCACAUAACUGACGCUGAGGAGCGAAAGCGUGGGUAGCAAACAGGAUUAGAUACCCUAGUAGUC